GACAGAGGGUGCAAACGUUGUUCGGAAUUACUGGGCGUAAAGCGCGUGUAGGCUGCUCUGCAAGUCGGAUGUGAAAGCCCUGGGCUCAACCUAGGAAGUGCAUUCGAAACUGCAAAGCUGGAGUCCUGGAGAGGAAGGCGGAAUUCUCGGUGUAGAGGUGAAAUUCGUAGAUAUCGAGAGGAACACCGGUGGCGAAGGCGGCAUCCUGGACCGAGAUUGACGCUGAUGCGCGAAAGCUAGGGUAGCAAACGGG
This 253-nucleotide ribosomal RNA is filed under the name uncultured bacterium. Its description in RNAcentral is "partial 16S ribosomal RNA". It matches the Rfam family "Bacterial small subunit ribosomal RNA", at positions 524 to 776 of the family's 1533-position model. The record is from RNAcentral.